UACAGAGGUCCCGAGCGUUGUUCGGAUUCACUGGGCGUAAAGGGUGCGUAGGUGGUCGGGUAAGUCUGAGGUGAAAUCUCCGAGCCCAACUCGGAAACUGCCUUGGAUACUAUUCGGCUAGAGGGUUGGAGGGGGGACUGGAAUUCUCGGUGUAGCAGUGAAAUGCGUAGAUAUCGAGAGGAACACCAGUGGCGAAGGCGAGUCCCUGGACAACUCCUGACACUGAGGCACGAAAGCUAGGGGAGCGAACGGG
RNAcentral lists this ribosomal RNA (253 nucleotides) under uncultured bacterium. Its description in RNAcentral is "partial 16S ribosomal RNA". It matches the Rfam family "Bacterial small subunit ribosomal RNA", at positions 524 to 776 of the family's 1533-position model. The record is from RNAcentral.